ACCGUUGUCUCCAUUCUCUCUUAACCGAUAUCAUCAUGGACCAAUCUUCUCUCCUCCCACCCAAUCAAUGGCGACGUCGACAACAAUUAACCCAUGACCGAUAAUGAGAUAAUUAGACCAGGCCAAUGGAAAUCGAGAUGAGAGUGAAAUCGAGAAUUCUUGGAUCGGUGUCAGGUUCCUUCCAUCUCCUGUCAGCAACGUUUUACAUAGAGUUUCACAUGAAACAGCCCCACAUUCCCAUUUAUGUUUUCUCUGCUUAAAAUUUUAGUCUUCAUCUCGACGCUACAAUAGUUUGGAGCCCUAUAAUCGAGUGUAAAUGUAAUCCUUAAACAUGUUUCAUUUGAUAUUGCUGAUUAGGUGAUACUUUGGUUGAUAAGUUAGGAGUUGAUCUCCCAUUAAUGUUCAAGGUAAUUCUUAUUUCAUCCUCAACGUUUAAAUCUGAGGUUUUUGAUAAGUGGUUCAACAUAUUUGUUUUCAAUUGUAAUUAGGAAGGGGACAUUUCUUUUGUUUUUGGGUAUGAUUACCUGCAAUCACUACAAUCAAUUGGUACUGAUUUCAUAUAAGGUUGCAAAAGACCUAAAAUCAAGUUUAAGAGAAGCAACAAUAUUGUUGAUGGAGAGAAAUAUAUCUUUUAAUUAUUUUUUUUAUAUCUUCUGUUUAUCUUUUAAAUCCUUACAACUCUUCUUAUAAUGCUUUAAUUUGGUCUAAUUAUGAAGAAGAAGAAUGUUGAAUGAUGUUUCUUACCUUAAGCAAGUCAAGGUCAGUACUUAUUAAUUCAUUUUACUUCAUUUCUAUGCAAAAAUAUGUAAAUACCCUUUUGGUAAUACCGUAAUAGAUCAAAAUAUGACCUGCAGUUGUCAUUGCUGGUGGAAAGCUUAUCAUUGCAAGCACCUAAUAUUUUCUAUCCUUCAAACUCUUUAUUUUUUUUCCUAUAUCAUUAAUCUUGACUUUCUUUUUUCUUUUGCAGUUUCUGCAUUUGGAAUUAGAUGGUUUUUCUCCUAUAUCAUUAAUUUUGACUUUCUUUUUUCUUUUGUAGUUUCUGCAUUUGGAAUUAGAUGGUCUGCUUUGAGACCACCACUUUUCACUCCUCACUGACCCCUUCACAAGAAUGGCUAUGACAAGGAGAUUGACUAGAAGCCGGAACAAUCGUGAUGCAUCUAGCAAUAAUAACUUCAAGAUUGAUGAUGUGGGACACAGAUGAUUAUAAUCCAAGUGUUGGGUAACAUAAAUACAUACUAAAUAAUGUGGGAAAGACAUACAAGAGCAAGUAGUCAGGUGGUUCACUUUUCAUAAGAUCCCUCAAAUUGAUUUUGUGAGUUUUUCUUCAUAAUACAGUGUUAUUUGAUAUUACAAAUUCUCUAACGUACUGAUAAUAAAAGACCAUUUGCUGCAUCUGGACUAGAAAUCACACCAUUGCCAAUUAAUAUUCUAUUUGUUUUUUAUUUUUUGGUUGAAAUAAAAAAAAUACAAAUUACCAUUAACCAAGAUUCUGUCUUUUGUUUACCUCCAUUAAGGUGAUGCAUGGUUAUGAGUAUAUUUUCUUGACAAAUUAAUAUAUUAACAACCAAAGGGCCUUUGGCCUAGAGAUAAGGAGUGACUCUCUCAAAGGAGAGGUCAUGGGUUCAAGUCUCACUAGGAGACUUAGGUGGUGUUUAGGAUUAGAUUAGGUGGUGUUUAGGAGUAGGAUAGUUUGCCGUUUCAAAAAAAAAUUUAAUAUAUUAACAUUUAGCAAAUGCUAACUACUACUCCUAUGGUCAGAUUGUAAUUUUGUUUUAGGUGUUGGAGAAUUAAAUAUAUGGCCAGUGUGUAAUAAUGUUAUUAUAGAAAAUGUCCAAGUGUUGUACAUUGUUAGAAAUUGUUCAUGUUUCACAAAAUUACUUAACAAUUUAUAUUUGUUUCAAUGUUUUACACCUACAACUUUUGUUGGUCCAGGUACCAAAUCCACUAUCCAAACAAGAUAAAAACAAUGAAUUUCACAUUUCAAGAAGCAAAAGAAAACAUUGACAACAAUAUGACAUAAAAGCAAACAAAGACCAAGAUGAACAAGAAAAACUGUUGGAGAUAUAGUAUUAGCUUAUUUGUACAAUCAUUUCUCUUUAAAACUUCUAUAUAUAUCCUUUGAUUAAAAUUUUAUGUCUUUAGUAUAUGUACAUUGAAAACUUAUGUAUUGAUUGGUUUUAUUAAUGUUAAUAUCAUUUGUUUU
Lactuca sativa (garden lettuce) is the source of this 2203-nucleotide non-coding RNA. The record is from RefSeq and is a predicted model, not a curated record. NCBI's taxonomy places the organism in Eukaryota, Viridiplantae, Streptophyta, Magnoliopsida, Asterales, Asteraceae.